UGACCUGUGAUGCUACGAUUGGUCUGAGAAAGCUAUUAUGUUUUGCGUUGAUAGAAAUCUGUGAUCUUGUUUUGAUUGAUCUAUAGAGCCGUUUUGUGCGAUUACUUAU
Molecule: small nucleolar RNA, 109 nt
Organism: Humulus lupulus (European hop)
Lineage: Eukaryota; Viridiplantae; Streptophyta; Magnoliopsida; Rosales; Cannabaceae
Product: small nucleolar RNA snoR2/U65
Exons: 1
Source: RefSeq, a predicted model, not a curated record